AUUCAACCGAUUUCUCUGCAAGAAAACGUGUUCAUGCUGUUCGUGGGGAUGAAUGUUACCCUCUUUAAAGGUAUGCUAGGCUUCAAAGCACUUCACUAACCCGCUGGCGCGUGAACAUACCUAUUCCUGAAGUAGAGAUGCUUCGCGAUAGUCUUGGAAAUAAGCGGUACAUAAUAGACUGGGAAGACUUUGUGGGUGCAAAAAAUGAAGCAACUGAAACAACCCUUUACGAUUUAUGCAAGCAAGACACCGCCGCUAUCGUGG
Long non-coding RNA from Lolium rigidum, 264 nucleotides. RefSeq lists it as uncharacterized. NCBI's taxonomy places the organism in Eukaryota, Viridiplantae, Streptophyta, Magnoliopsida, Poales, Poaceae. The record is from RefSeq and is a predicted model, not a curated record. The transcript is spliced from 3 exons.